GAUGAACGCUGGCGGCGUGCCUAAUACAUGCAAGUCGAGCGAACAGAUGAGGAGCUUGCUCCUCUGACGUUAGCGGCGGACGGGUGAGUAACACGUGGAUAACCUACCUAUAAGACUGGGAUAACUUCGGGAAACCGGAGCUAAUACCGGAUAAUAUAUUGAACCGCAUGGUUCAAUAGUGAAAGACGGUUUUGCUGUCACUUAUAGAUGGAUCCGCGCCGCAUUAGCUAGUUGGUAGGUAACGGCUUACCAAGGCAACGAUGCGUAGCCGACCUGAGAGGGUGAUCGGCCACACUGGAACUGAGACACGGUCCAGACUCCUACGGGAGGCAGCAGUAGGGAAUCUUCCGCAAUGGGCGAAAGCCUGACGGAGCAACGCCGCGUGAGUGAUGAAGGUCUUCGGAUCGUAAAACUCUGUUAUUAGGGAAGAACAAAUGUGUAAGUAACUAUGCAUGUCUUGACAGUACCUAAUCAGAAAGCCACGGCUAACUACGUG
This 496-nucleotide ribosomal RNA is filed under the name uncultured bacterium. RNAcentral's name for it is "partial 16S ribosomal RNA". It matches the Rfam family "Bacterial small subunit ribosomal RNA", at positions 28 to 507 of the family's 1533-position model. The record is from RNAcentral.